RNAcentral lists this ribosomal RNA (506 nucleotides) under uncultured bacterium. RNAcentral's name for it is "partial 16S ribosomal RNA". It matches the Rfam family "Bacterial small subunit ribosomal RNA", at positions 29 to 523 of the family's 1533-position model. The record is from RNAcentral.
AGUGAACGCUGGCGGUAGGCCUAACACAUGCAAGUCGAACGGCAGCACAGGAGAGCUUGCUCUCUGGGUGGCGAGUGGCGGACGGGUGAGGAAUACAUCGGAAUCUACUCUGUCGUGGGGGAUAACGUAGGGAAACUUACGCUAGUACCGCAUACGACCUACGGGUGAAAGCAGGGGACCUUCGGGCCUUGCGCGAUUGAAUGAGCCGAUGUCGGAUUAGCUAGUUGGCGGGGUAAAGGCCCACCAAGGCGAAGAUCCGGAGCUGGUCUGAGUAGGAGGUCAGCCACACGGCGACUGAGACACGGUCCAGACUCCUACGUGAGGCAGGAGGGGGGAAUAUUGAAUAAUGGGCGCGAGCCUGAGCCAGCCAUACCGCGUGAGUGAUGAAGGCCUUCUGUUUGUAAAGCCCUUUUGUUGGGAAAGAAAUCCAGCUGGCUAAUACCCGGUUGGGAUGACGGUACCCAAAGAAGAAGCACCGGCUAACUUCGUGCCAGCCGCCGCAGUGA